UAAAUCGUCGCCAUCGUGCUAACUUGUCGUACGUGCAUUUUGGGCCAAAUUGAGUUAAGAACGCCAUUUUGUGCAGCUCACAAUGCCUCACCUUUUGACCUUCACAGAUCCCCAAAAUUCGAUUUCAAUCCUGAGAUAUUCAACAAAAACCGAAAAAACUCCGUGCAUUUUUGUCACUUUACAUAUGAAAGUAGUUUCAAUCUUGUCGUGCUAUCUUGUCACUCCCUGAAAAUUGAUUGCGACAAAGGGCAAAGGGAUUUCAGGUCAGGAUGCGUUUGACGCACGUACAAGUUAGACUACCGUAAACAUUUUUAAUUAUAACUCGGGACUCCAGCAACCAACUUCAACCAAACUUCGGGACAAUGCACAGAAUGGUCAGCCAAACAAAACGUGUUUGUUAUUGUUUACAUUGCGUGCUUUCGUUUUUGUUUAUUCAAGGUCAAACAUUAAAACGCGUUUUUCUCGGAACGUCAAAAUGGCGGGUGCGACAUGAUAGCACGACGACGUCGAUAUGUUUAUUCAAAUAU
This is a long non-coding RNA of Culex pipiens pallens (northern house mosquito), 527 nucleotides long. RefSeq lists it as uncharacterized. The transcript has 2 exons. NCBI's taxonomy places the organism in Eukaryota, Metazoa, Arthropoda, Insecta, Diptera, Culicidae. The record is from RefSeq and is a predicted model, not a curated record.